Molecule: non-coding RNA, 408 nt
Filed under: Ankistrodesmus stipitatus
Lineage: Eukaryota; Viridiplantae; Chlorophyta; Chlorophyceae; Sphaeropleales; Selenastraceae
Description: group I intron
Rfam family: Group I catalytic intron (bases 41-328)
About the family: Group I catalytic introns are large self-splicing ribozymes. They catalyse their own excision from mRNA, tRNA and rRNA precursors in a wide range of organisms.
Source: RNAcentral
AUGGGUGAAAGCACUAUUGCCCAUCAUAGCAGCUGUCCACAAAGCAGUCUGCUAGUCGUCGUUGCACCGCUUUGCAAGGCGCAACGCACGGCGAGACCGUCGAAUUGCGGGGACAUCCUUACAGCUCAAGCUACCAACUUGUCGCAGAAAUGCUGGCAAGGGCCGGGGUAAUGACCCAGGGUAUGGUAAAAACGCUUGAGAUUGGAUAAUCCGCAGCCAAGCACCUUACCCGGAUUCAACGUCCGGAAAGGUGAAGGUUCAGAGACUAGGUGGCGGUCGGUCACGAGACGUGGCUUAAGAUAGAGUCCGUUCGCGCUGAAAAGCGUUCGUCGGGAAGAAAGCCUUAGCAAGGCCGGAGCCAGACGAAGGGUAGCCAUUAUUGGCUGCCUCGAGGUACACGGGUGGUGC